Molecule: long non-coding RNA, 412 nt
Organism: Mauremys mutica (yellowpond turtle)
Lineage: Eukaryota; Metazoa; Chordata; Testudines; Geoemydidae
Exons: 3
Source: RefSeq, a predicted model, not a curated record
CACAUACACUAGUUGUUACCAGGCUAGUGGCAGCAAGGAAUUAGCUUCUCCAGGAGGAGAGGCUGUGCCCCUUCUCAUAGGGGAAGCAGACAAGCCCAAGCCCGAGCCCUGGCUAGGGGAAGGACUGACACCCUGACCCAGUGAGGAGAUUUGCAUCCAGGGCUGGAUUUACACUUUAUGCACCCCUAGGCACUGCAUCUUCAGUGCCUCACCCGGCCUACAGUUGACCUUCAUGUUGUACACAGUUUUAGAGAGGUGGACCCCAUCUCUGCAUAGUAGUCCUUCUGGAACAGCGUCCCAUGGUCAAGAAAGCUGAAACCCUCCUGGAGACACCAUCCUCUAGCAGCUGCCAGAGUCCUGGACGCUUGGACCUAGGACCUCUGAAAAUAACAUUUCUGCUGAACAACUCCCU